RNAcentral lists this ribosomal RNA (449 nucleotides) under uncultured bacterium. RNAcentral describes it as "partial 16S ribosomal RNA". It matches the Rfam family "Bacterial small subunit ribosomal RNA", at positions 338 to 795 of the family's 1533-position model. The record is from RNAcentral.
CUUACGGGAGGCUGCAGUGGGGAAUUUUGGACAAUGGGGGAAACCCUGAUCCAGCCAUGCCGCGUGCGGGAAGAAGGCCUUCGGGUUGUAAACCGCUUUCGGACGGAAAGAAAUCGCACGGACUAAUACUCUGUGUGGAUGACGGUACCGUAAGAAGAAGCACCGGCUAACUACGUGCCAGCAGCCGCGGUAAUACGUACGGUACGAGCGUUAGUCGGAAUUACUGGGCGGAUUUCGUGAGCAGGACGUUAAAUCCCCGGGCUUAACCUGGGAACUGCGUUUGGAACUGGGAGACUAGAGUGUGUCAGAGGGAGGUGGAAUUCCGCGUGUAGCAGUGAAAUGCGUAUAUAUGCGGAGGAACACCGAUGGCGAAGGCAGCCUCCUGGGAUAACACUGACGCUCAUGCACGAAAGCGUGGGGAGCAAACAGGAUUAGAUACCCUGGUAGUC